AGCUUUUCGAAUCCGUUCUGAGAUUUCGUCAGACAACAGCCCAUUAGGGCUGACCAAAUUUCCAAGAUAAGUGGAGUU
This 78-nucleotide microRNA precursor is filed under the name Schistosoma curassoni. Its description in RNAcentral is "mir-3492 microRNA precursor family". It matches the Rfam family "mir-3492 microRNA precursor family". The record is from Rfam by way of RNAcentral. Lineage: Eukaryota; Metazoa; Platyhelminthes; Trematoda; Strigeidida; Schistosomatidae.